This 1458-nucleotide ribosomal RNA is filed under the name uncultured organism. RNAcentral's name for it is "SSU rRNA". It matches the Rfam family "Bacterial small subunit ribosomal RNA". The record is from RNAcentral.
GAUGAACGCUUGCUACAGGCUUAACACAUGCAAGUCGAGGGGCAGCAUGGUCUUAGCUUGCUAAGGCCGAUGGCGACCGGCGCACGGGUGAGUAACACGUAUCCAACCUGCCGUCUACUCUUGGACAGCCUUCUGAAAGGAAGAUUAAUACAAGAUGGCAUCAUGAGUCCGCAUGUUCACAUGAUUAAAGGUAUUCCGGUAGACGAUGGGGAUGCGUUCCAUUAGAUAGUAGGCGGGGUAACGGCCCACCUAGUCUUCGAUGGAUAGGGGUUCUGAGAGGAAGGUCCCCCACAUUGGAACUGAGACACGGUCCAAACUCCUACGGGAGGCAGCAGUGAGGAAUAUUGGUCAAUGGGCGAGAGCCUGAACCAGCCAAGUAGCGUGAAGGAUGACUGCCCUAUGGGUUGUAAACUUCUUUUAUAAAGGAAUAAAGUCGGGUAUGGAUACCCGUUUGCAUGUACUUUAUGAAUAAGGAUCGGCUAACUCCGUGCCAGCAGCCGCGGUAAUACGGAGGAUCCGAGCGUUAUCCGGAUUUAUUGGGUUUAAAGGGAGCGUAGAUGGAUGUUUAAGUCAGUUGUGAAAGUUUGCGGCUCAACCGUAAAAUUGCAGUUGAUACUGGAUAUCUUGAGUGCAGUUGAGGCAGGCGGAAUUCGUGGUGUAGCGGUGAAAUGCUUAGAUAUCACGAAGAACUCCGAUUGCGAAGGCAGCCUGCUAAGCUGCAACUGACAUUGAGGCUCGAAAGUGUGGGUAUCAAACAGGAUUAGAUACCCUGGUAGUCCACACGGUAAACGAUGAAUACUCGCUGUUUGCGAUAUACAGCAAGCGGCCAAGCGAAAGCGUUAAGUAUUCCACCUGGGGAGUACGCCGGCAACGGUGAAACUCAAAGGAAUUGACGGGGGCCCGCACAAGCGGAGGAACAUGUGGUUUAAUUCGAUGAUACGCGAGGAACCUUACCCGGGCUUAAAUUGCAGAUGAAUUACGGUGAAAGCCGUAAGCCGCAAGGCAUCUGUGAAGGUGCUGCAUGGUUGUCGUCAGCUCGUGCCGUGAGGUGUCGGCUUAAGUGCCAUAACGAGCGCAACCCUUGUUGUCAGUUACUAACAGGUUCCGCUGAGGACUCUGACAAGACUGCCAUCGUAAGAUGUGAGGAAGGUGGGGAUGACGUCAAAUCAGCACGGCCCUUACGUCCGGGGCUACACACGUGUUACAAUGGGGGGUACAGAGGGCCGCUACCACGCGAGUGGAUGCCAAUCCCCAAAACCUCUCUCAGUUCGGACUGGAGUCUGCAACCCGACUCCACGAAGCAGGAUUCGCUAGUAAUCGCGCAUCAGCCACGGCGCGGUGAAUACGUUCCCGGGCCUUGUACACACCGCCCGUCAAGCCAUGGGAGCCGGGGGUACCUGAAGUGCGUAACCGCGAGGAGCGCCCUAGGGUAAAACUGGUGACUGGGGCUAAGUCAUA